Non-coding RNA from Macaca mulatta (Rhesus monkey), 2368 nucleotides. NCBI's taxonomy places the organism in Eukaryota, Metazoa, Chordata, Mammalia, Primates, Cercopithecidae. The record is from RefSeq and is a predicted model, not a curated record.
CCUUGGCUCAUCACCUGGAGAGAGUGGAUCUAGGAGGUCCGGGCAUCGCUACGCUGGGCCCAGCCUGGGUGGAGCCCCCAAGGCGGGAGGGUGGAGCCUCGCGGACCCUGGCUGGGGUCAGGGCAGAAUCCAGGCCUGGGGAGCUCCGGGUGAGACGGGGAGUCCUCAGCCCAGUCAGCUGUGAGGCCACGGGACCCUGGGACAGGGCGGGCUCUGGCCACUAAAUAGCAAAGCAGGCAGAGACAUCCUAUGCCGUUCCAUGUGGGAGCCUCAGACUCUCAGGAGUCCUGACUGGCCCCGGGGUCGUUGGCCACGUUUGCAUCCGGGUCAGGUAGGGUCAGGCUCCCCCGUUUCCCGUGGGCUCUGAGGAGAGAAGGGAACCGGAAGGUUCUGGUCCUGUCCGAGGUGUGUGGAGAGUUGCUUUUCCAGCAGAAAUACCAACUCCCGCGUUUAAGUUUAGGCAGUUGACCAACUUGGAAAAGCUUUGAACUUUGGUUUGGCGUUGAAGCCACACGAUCUGUCGCCCGUGGAAACAGCAGAAUUCCAUAAGGACCGAGUGGGGAAUCCACACUCUCUACGGGGCUCCAGCCACCGGCCGUCUCUUGCUUGACUUCUGACGCGAACGGAGUAGAACAUGUUGCCAUUUGUUUGUUGACAUCGCGGAUGAAGGAGCAGAAUCCAUUUUGCGGGGAAAGAUGUGGAGACACUGUUGGAUACAGCCGCAGGGGAUCACUGGGUGCCUUAAGGAGAGCGGUUGCUACUUCGUGCUGGGGCAGAAGAGACUCGAGUGAGUGGCUGGAUGCAGAUGAAGAUGAAGCCCUGGGGAUGGGUGUGCUGUGAGUUGAAACGAUCCUGGGCUCUGAGUCAUUGUGUGGAGCAGUCCUACACGCCAACAAAACCACGUGCCUUGGACUGCAAUUUUUAAAUUCCUUGCACAACCUUAAUGAAGAUAGUUGUUAUGAAAAAUCUGGAGGAAGAGACGUUAGACUUGUUCAGAGUGACUGUAUUAGACAGAUAUAUGAACGCUCAUCAGAAGUCAACAUGCUGGAUUUCAUGCGGCAAGUUCCCAGCAGAAUUCUCUAGGGAUGGAAUACAUUAUCUAAAAAGGGUGAAUAAAUUAUUGUCCUUUAAUCUCAAUCUCAGUAUCAGACUAUCUAUUCAUAUGGAAAUAUGCUUGCUGUUAAGAGUGGUUGCUGUGGGGGAAGAGAAAGCAAAUCACUAGCUGUGUGAUGUGGAGAGAGUGAAGGAGCAAUUUCUAUUCUUCAGUUCUGGAUGGUUCUAUUGUUUUACAAAGAGCAAGACUUCAAAAAAUCCUUUGUAAGUAAAAUAAAGCAUGGAUAUAUUCCAAAGCCCAGAAAAUGUAAUUUGAGCAAGCUAGUAUUGUUUUCUGUUAACUUUUGAUUUUGUAUUUUUUGAGAACUUGUAUCUUCAAUAUUAAUUUGUAAAGGCUUUAACAAUAUUAGGAAUUUAAAAAUCUAUUCACCACUAAAUUAACUUUUUAAGUUACAAUUUUAAUUCUUUUGGAUACUAGAUUACUAUUUACUUUGUACUUUUGAGGAUUUAUUUUCAAUUUUACUAGGUAAAGUCCCUGUCCUGUUCUUUUUUAAUCAUGUGUUUGGCAACAAAAUUAUGGAGUAAGUUGUCAUGGUAAUAAGAUGAAGACUCAGAUGGGGAUGAGUGGAGUUAGGUUUGUUCCUGUAUUGCUGUGGAUAUUCUGUAUUGUUGUAUUGCGGUGGAUAUUCUGUAUUGCUGUGGAUAUUCUGUAUUGUAUUGCUGUGGAUAUUCUGUAUUGUUGUAUUGCUGUGGAUAUUCUGUAUUGCUGUGGAUAUUCUGUAUUGUAUUGCUGUGGAUAUUCUGUAUUGCUGUGGAUAUUCUGUAUUGUAUUGCUGUGGAUAUUCUGUAUUGUAUUGCUGUGGAUAUUGUCUAUUGUUACCUUGGUGUGGAUAUUCUGUAUUGCUGUGGAUAUUCUGUAUUGUAUUGCUGUGGAUAUUCUGUAUUGUAUUGCUGUGGAUUUUCUGUAUUGCUGUGGAUAUUGUCUAUUGUUACCUUGGUGUGGAUAUUCUGUAUUGCUGUGGAUAUUCUGUAUUGUAUUGCUGUGGAUAUUCUGUAUUGUAUUGCUGUGGAUUCUGUAUUGCUGUGGAUAGUCUGUAUUGCUGUGGAUUCUGUAUUGUAUUGCUGUGGAUAGUCUGUAUUGCUGUGGAUAUUCUGUAUUGUUGUAUUGCUGUGGAUACUCUGUAUUGUAUUGCUGUGGAUAUUCUGUAUUAUAUUGCUGUGGAUAGUCUGUAUUGCUGUGGAUAUUCUGUAUUGUAUUGCUGUGGAUAGUCUGUAUUGCUGUGGAUAUUCUAUAUAUUGCUGUGGAUAUUCUAUA